CCAACCCCACCCAGCAGCGAGAUCGCCGGCCGCCGCCGCUGAUGGGCGAGCUGAUUCUCUUCCGCUUCCCGCCCGCCGACCCCGCUAGCGCUCGUCUGCAAGCUGUGGUUCCACAUUCUCCGGCGAGGGCUUCCGCCGCAGGGCCCCCGUGCUGGUCUGGUCUGGGAUGAGGACGAUCUCAUGAAUGAUGAGCUCGCCGUCUGGGACCCCAUGACAGGCGAGGAGCGGAUGACCCUUCCUGGUGGUGCUAGUGGACACCGAAGCAAGGGUAAAACUGUAAAAGUGGUACGGUGAACUGGUUAUGCACUUGCUGCUGAAGGAGACUCAGAAAAAUCUGCUCCUGAAGCUGACAUAGAACAGCCUACUGUACGUCAUAUUGACUGAACUUGAAAAGAAGCGUGAAGAACUGGAGCAAGCAAUGUCGAAAGGGGGAAUAACCGAGCUGGCCGGGGUUCCUGGAUUUGCCAAGCCCUGCAAUAGAUGAGAUCAUGAAGAUGAUUGCAUCCAGGGCAGCUGUUGGGUAGAAAGUUGCUGAUGGGCAAAGAGCUGCAUCUUUUACUUCUUCUCAGAUGGCCACUUCGAGCAAUGUCUCUGGCUCAGUCAUGUCUACGGCAGCAACAACCAGAAGUACUGUAACUGACCUCGGGGUUGUAGGCAGAGGUGUCAAACGAGCUAGCAGCCUAGCGUCAAGGUGAUAACAGCUGAACCUGCUCAAGAAGCCUGCAGUGGAUUCAGCACCUGUGAGAGGAGAUAGCAGCAACAGCUCUGAGAGCAGGUUCUUCAUACAACACAGAAUGGUGAUGAUUCUGUAUCGAAGUACAGUACAAGUUCACUAGCCCUACCCCUCAUGCUAACUUGCUGGAAUCUGUUAGCUGCCUAUGUGGUUCAAUUCGGUUUCAUUUAAUGUGGCCUGAUGUCAGCCGUUUUAUGAAAGCUAUUUAGAAAAAUGUUUUAGAAGGGGCUGCUUGAGACAUUGACUCAUUCUGAGCUUUGUACCUUGUAAAGGUUAAAUUGCUGAGAAGUUCAUCAAGCAU
Long non-coding RNA from Setaria italica (foxtail millet), 1034 nucleotides. RefSeq lists it as uncharacterized. The record is from RefSeq and is a predicted model, not a curated record. NCBI's taxonomy places the organism in Eukaryota, Viridiplantae, Streptophyta, Magnoliopsida, Poales, Poaceae. The transcript has 3 exons.